GACUUCAGGCCCAGUCACUGCCCCAUUAACUCAUUUGCUUUUGCUUCCAUUGCCAUGGGCUUUUUCCUUAACGACUUACUUAUACCAUAUGAUAUUACAAAUUUAUCAAGCCUUGGUUUUCUGGGGUUGUACCAUGGAUUCCAGGCAACUGAUGCAGCGGUGGAGAAGCAGACUUGUUGCCGUAUCACACUUCCAAGGAAGAGGAGAGCGUAUCAGGGCAUGCCACCAGCAGUCCAGGUGUUGUUAUGCAUGACCAACUGUCCUACUCUGAUUGUCAUGGUGGGUCUCCCAGCAAGAGGAAAAACCUACAUCUCGAAGAAGCUGACACGCUAUUUAAAUUGGAUUGGAGUGCCUACAAAAGAAUUUAAUGUUGGUCAGUAUCGUCGAGAUUUGGUGAAAAAGUAUAAAUCUUUUGAAUUCUUCCUGCCUGACAAUGAAGAAGGAUUGAAAAUCAGGAAACGGUGUGCCUUAGCAGCGCUGAAUGACGUCCGACAGUACCUCAGUGAAGAAAACGGGCACGUGGCUGUCUUUGAUGCUACAAACACAACUCGAGAACGUAGAGAAACUAUCUACAAAUUUGGUGAAGAAAAUGGAUAUAAAACAUUUUUUGUUGAGUCAGUAUGCGUAGAUCCAGAGGUCAUUGCUGCAAACAUUGUGCAAGUGAAGCUGGGUAGUCCUGACUAUGUUGAUUGUAGUAAUGAUGAAGCAACAGAAGACUUCAUGAAAAGAAUAGAGUGCUACAAGAACUCAUAUGAGACACUAGAUGAAACUCUUGACAAGGAUCUUUCUUAUAUUAAAAUUAUGGAUGUCGGAAGGAGUUACCUUGUGAACAGAGUAAUGGAUCACAUUCAGAGCCGGAUUGUCUACUACCUCAUGAAUAUCCAUGUGACUCCUCGAUCAAUCUACCUCUGUCGACAUGGAGAAAGUGAACUCAAUCUGAAAGGGAGAAUAGGAGGAGAUCCUGGACUGUCUGGCAGGGGGAAAGAAUUUGCCAAAAGCUUGGCACAAUUUAUUAAUGAACAGAAUAUCAAAGAUCUGAAAGUUUGGACCAGCCAGAUGAAAAGGACAAUUCAGACUGCUGAAGCCUUGGGAGUGCCUUAUGAGCAGUGGAAGGUUUUGAAUGAGAUUGAUGCAGGAGUGUGUGAAGAAAUGACAUACGAAGAAAUACAGGAAAAUUACCCGCUUGAAUUUGCACUGAGAGACCAAGACAAAUACAGAUACAGAUACCCUAAAGGAGAGUCCUAUGAAGACCUUGUUCAGAGACUGGAGCCAGUAAUUAUGGAACUUGAAAGGCAGGAAAAUGUGCUUGUCAUAUGUCACCAAGCUGUCAUGCGCUGUUUGCUGGCAUAUUUUCUUGACAAGCCUGCAGAACAACUGCCUUACCUGAAGUGCCCGCUGCAUACCGUCUUAAAGUUAACCCCGGUGGCUUAUGGAUGUAAAGUAGAAUCUAUAUUUCUGAAUGUUGAAGCUGUAAACACACACAGAGAUAAACCCGAGAAUGUAGACAUUUCCAGACCUCCCGAGGAUGCUCUUGUAACAGUCCCUGCUCAUCAGUGAAUCCUGUGUGCUGAUCAACUAUCAAACUUGGGGUGCUGUUUUCAUCCUAUUACUUCAAAAUAAAUUUAAAAACUAAUCAUUCCAAUCACUUUGAAAUAAAAAAGCCCCACCCAAACCCAACAACUCAAAACCUAAACCAAAUGUCUGUAGAUGUCAAAUGUCAAAUCACAAUAAAACUAUUUCACUGGUUAAUUUAUUGUGGAUGAGUUAUCAGACAUUGAUCGGCUGUCACUGGAAUGCUGGUUUUGUAAAUUGCUGUAAUUUAAAGAUCCUGCAGCAUUAAGUUUUGCUGAAACAGCCAGCAAUCGUUUAAUGUUAGUUGCAGUGUGUUUCUUUAUGGAAGCCACAAAACACAACAUCCUGUGUGAGAUAAGAAAAAGCUGAAGUUUGUUUUCUAGGCACAAGUAUUCUCUAUUUCAUGCCCCUGGGAGUGAUUGGACUGCUAUGUAGCAUAAAAUAACAAUCUAUAGUUCCUGCAAGACCUUAAUCCUGCUGAUCCAUAGCACUAGUGCUCUAGAUGUGCUAAUUAAUGAUGUGCUGUUUGAAGAGGGUACCAAGUUUUCACUUAGUUCCAGAACAAUUAUUCAAGGCCAAGAAUGUGUAUAAAUGUUUUUAAUAUAUGGCUUUGCUUAACAGCUGUUCUGCAUUAACUAGGCUUUAGGGUUUGCCCACUGGCAGGAGUUAUUUUAAAUUUCCUCUUCCUGCUUCUUGUUACGGACGUGGGUAACUGUCUACUUAGCACUUCUUUCUUAGUGAAUGACAGAUACAGAGAUUGCUUGUAGCAAGAAACCCAGCUCUCCUUUUUGAUUUUGUUGGGGAGAGGGGGAGAGGGAGUUGUUAGUGAAAGGUGAAUUUGCUUUCCGCAGUGUAAAACAAGGUAAGACUCAUGAAGCCCAUCAGCACAAAGUUGAAGAAUUGGCAAUUAUUUGGCCUAACGUGGGCCAAAUCUUAGAUCAGGAUCUUGUAAGGAACUUCAGAACAGUUUAUCAUAGUCUUCUUUCUUGGUAGAAGGGAGAAUACUUCUCUGCUGUAACUUCUCUGCUCUGUAAAUACAAGCAUUUACAGCCCUGCUGUGUAUGAUUUGUACGCAGAUUUUAUCUAGGUUACCAUAAGCAGUGCUGACUAUUUCAUAAUGCGGAAGCAGAGUUAGCCUGAUGAUUUUGUAGCUGGGUUGUGACUUCAGUAGGUGCGAGAUCUCAAACCAGCAGGGUAUGCAUCCUAAACUGAACUGUGGUAAGACCUGUGGCAGGCUGGAGAAGGCUGCAGCUUGUUUGAGAUGUGACAUGCCUUGGUUCCUUUCUCUGUGAUGCUAUGGUGGGCAAAAUGACGGAGUGGGAGGCAUCUGUGCCAUCGAAGCAGCUUUGUUUAGGUAGCGUUGAGUCUGGGAAAGGCAGAAAAUCACUUGCAUCCUGGAACUGUUUUCUGAGGGGGUCUUUUAGCCUUGAAAGUAAGCAAGAGUGGCAUGUUUUGGAAAGCUUUUAUAUGUUGGGUUUCUCAGGUGGUAUGUUUUUCCAAAACUGGGAUUUUGGAAAAAAAGUGUUACAUAUCUGCACUUCUAAAAUUACACUGAAGUUUUCAGUGUAAUUUGAAAUGUCUGAUACAACCAAAUUACCUCCUGGCCAGAGAGCUUUCUGCUGUACUGCUUGGUAUAUUUAAUUAAUCCAGUGUCCCAGGGGGAACCCAGAUUAUGUUCCUUUCUCUAUUGUGGCCAUGAUGUGGGAGCGUUUUGUCACUUUUCCAUGUUUAAUUGCCCCAGUCUCACUGUGAAAAACGCCACAGACAAGGAGGUCUGAGCCUGCUGUAUGCAGUGAGCGUGGUUGCUUUUAUCUGACAGUUUAGAUGAUGUUCCCAAGAGGUUGCAGAGACGCUUGGGCUGUCGGAGGAAAUGGAGGGGGAAGAUGGAAGGGGCAGGAACUUGGCCAGAGAGGAAAGCCAGGCUUGCCUUCUCUGUGGCUGGUGGAGGUGUAGAGAGGGAGACGGCAGAGGUGCCCAGGACCCUCCACCCUGCCAGCUGCUGCCAGCCAGCCCAAUUGCCUGGGGCUGCAGCUGGGUGGUGUUCUCUUUACUGAGUGUGAUGUUCAUUGUGCUGGUGUGUGUAAUGGAGUGAAGUGGAUAUUUAAAAGCAGUUUUGUGCUUAAAGGGGUCUCCUAUUACAGCAGGAUUGCUUAAUAGUUCUCUCUGGCGUUUUUCUUAUUAAAUGAAGGGCCUGAUGCUGGGUGUGAAGCAGCAGCAAGUUUGUUGUACAUCUUGCUGAGGGAAAGCUGUCUGAAUGUAGGUGUGGAUCGAUCAAGAGAAGAAGCUUUGAGGACAGUACCUAACCACCUAUAGCUCCAGUUCUGGGGGUGGCAGCCCUUCCUCCAGCACAAGAGUGUUAAGUAGCAGCUCAGGUCCAGGAGGAUGGAGAAGGUGUCGCUGAGCACCAAGCGAGUUGGAAUGAAUGCGCCUCCCCCCUUUGCUUUAAGACAUUUCAAAUGUGAUUCAGCUUCUUUGGAGAAAACCUGUAGUUGUGGAUAACUCCCAGUGCUGAAAGGUAUCAGUAAAAAGAUUUAUGGGAAGCAGAGUAGAGUUGGGUUUAGAUUUUUCAUAUGUAAAUUUGUGCAGUUUCAGUGGUUUUUUAUUGUUCAUCUGUGGAUACUGCAAGAUGUUAAUUGCCCAUGUCAAUUUUACUGUCAGAUUUUACUUUCUUUUUAAAGUGUGUUUCUGAGAGUUCCUCUUGGUUUUACUGUGAAUGGUUGCCUAGGAUUACAUGGCAAUUUUUUUUGAUGGUGUAAUUAACAUAGGUGAAAUUCUACAUUUUGAGCUUUGGAGGCUUUGUGUUGCAAAACUACUUAACUACUUUAAAUGAGGAAACCUGUCAGAUUUUGACAGCUUUUCUGUGUUUUAAAAUGAACUUCAGUAAGCAAACCACAACUUAAAAUUUUCCUGAAGUGGGGAGACUUGCCCUUUGCAAAAGAAAAGCAUUAAAGCUAGAUUUGCUGCCUGGAAGAUUCUGCUGUUUUAGCAACAUCUUAACAUUUUCCAGGAGCCAGCUGUAUUUUGGAGGGCAGUGGGGGACAUGAGUGUGAGUAGAGCUGGCAGCCUGGGUAAUGCAUUGAGAAAGAGCGAGAGAGAGACACACAUCCUUUCUGCUGCAGUUAAAGGCGGGGGUGAGCAGCUUUUCUGAGACUGGAAGGGAAAAGGAUAAGUACAUCAGGAAACAGUACAGAAAGGUUAGGUAGAGUUUAACCAUUCUAACAGCUCAUGCAAGAAAAACACCAGGUAAAUUCUGAAAUUAUUUUUAACGUGGUACACCUGCCUUGGGGUUUUUUUAAUUGUUUUUAAGCAUCUUCCACCAUCACAAUUCUUUGCUGCUCUUUUAUACCUUGUGAAACUCCAGCGCUAAAAAUGGAAUUUUUAAUGUCUGUUGAGGCCACCACCUUUUAACUGUACUAAAUCAGUGUGUAUUUUGUAUGUGUGUUACCGGACAACUGAAGUGAGCUGUCGGCGCUGCUGCUGGCUCUUAGUUCUGAAAUGAGAACUAUUCUUUGGACUGUGUUUUCUCUAAGGAUUUCUCUUCAAUUAAUCAAUCUUUUACUACAUAUGUUGUUUGGGUUGUUUUGCUAGGUUUUUUCUUUCUUUUUUCUCUAUUCCUGUGUGAAAUACCAGGCCCUCGUAACAUAGUUCUGCAGGCAAGGGCUAAAUUGUCUUUUGUUUGUGCAGGGUUUAUAAAAUAACGUGCUGCUAUUGUGAUUUUUUUUUUUUUGUAAGCUAAUUUCAGCAAUAUAUUCAGCUCUGGAAGUAAGCCAUACUGUAUCGCUGGGUUCCAUUUCAGAAGAGGAAUGUGUAGAGUUUAGAGUGACCAGAAACCCUUGCUUCAAGCGCUGCUGUCUAAUGCUUUGUGUGUGUGAUCCUUGUGUUAGGUAAUGCCCAUGUCAGAUCUUUAUUAAUUCAGCUGUGUCCGUAGUUGUGUGAGGAGAGACUGCACAGCGCUGCUCAGAAGAAUUAAUUUAUUGAUCUGUAGGUAACAAGGCCACCUUCGUGGCAAAACCGUAGAAGUAAUUUCCCCUCCUGAUUUGACACGAGUUCAGUGUGGGAAAGCUGUGCUGUGCUGCAGGCAGCCCUCACGCCACCAGCCCUCCACCGACCAGCUGUCACCAGGAGCUGUUCAACAGUUCUUAAAGUGAGAAAGUCAGAGUUUACCCGUAGUUACAGAAGGCAGAGUUACAGAAUCCUGGGAUUCCAGGAGAAUGGUACUAGAAAAGCAGGGUUUUACCGCCAGCUGUGGUACUUCUUCAGCUUUGAUCGGACCUGGUUGAAGAAAUAUGGUGGAAGGAAAGGUUUCCCUUAGCGAGAGCUGAGCCCAAGGGCUGCUUCUCUUUACUGGCAAGCACGGCUUGAGGUGUGUCCCCUCUCCUUUUCUUUGUUUUACCCCUCUCAACUUUCAGAAAUGCAAAAUUCCUGGAGGCUAAAUGUUUUAUGUAUAGUAGGUAUUUUUAUAGCCUGCUUUUGAAUAUACUGUGAUGAGUGUUUUACUGGGUUGAGUGUUCGGUAAAAAAAGUUGUAUACAAGUGUAAAUGAACUGUUAUGCUGAUACUUGAAAAAAGAAAAAAAAAGUUCUACCUUAGGAAGGUACUAAAUUGCUGACUGCAUCUGACCCAAGUGCAGACAAUGAAUGUAGAUUUGAAGCAAAUGAUGGGUUCUCCCUGGGGUAUAAUGGCCUUUCUGGAAAGGCCCUGUUAAGAACUGCAGAUGAUUGUCAUGGUCUAAAACCUGCAUACAUCCUCCUCCCCCCACCCCGACCUUGUGUAUUUGUACCCAUGUUGAUUUUACUGCCUUCUGACUGUUAAUGCACUUGCUAGCUCAGAUGUAGUCUCUCAAAUGGGAUUAAACUGUCUUUUCUUACAUUUUUGGCCUCUGUUGUAAUCUUUCAGACAAAUGUAAUCAUUUGACCUUUGAUCCAAGUAAUAAAGAUCAAAUGCUA
Falco peregrinus (peregrine falcon) is the source of this 6517-nucleotide RNA transcript. It is a transcript of the gene named 6-phosphofructo-2-kinase/fructose-2,6-bisphosphatase 4, with no coding region annotated. The transcript has 16 exons. The record is from RefSeq and is a predicted model, not a curated record. Lineage: Eukaryota; Metazoa; Chordata; Aves; Falconiformes; Falconidae.